AAUUUAUUUGUUAUUAUUUUUGUUAUUAUAUUUUAUAAAUAUGCUGCCUGCCAGUCAGUUAAGAACAGAACCAGUUAAGGACAGUACCACUGAUAGACAAAAACGUUUGCCAGCAAUUUAAAUAAUUUUGUGUUGCUACAGUAUCAAAAGCAGCUUUAAGAAGCAUAAGGAUAUCUACUGUAUACUGUAGCUCCUGAGUCUGAGGCAAUAAAUAAAUCAUUCAAAACCCUGAAAAGAGCAGUCUCAGUGCUAUGAUUUAAGUGGAAACCAGACUGAAAUGGCUCAAACAAGUCAUUGGCUAUCAUAUAAGACUGUAUUUGAUGUGCAACCACACAUCUAAGGUUUUUUCUAUCUAACUCCUGAGAUAGAAAUGGUCAAUCAUUUUGUCAGAAUCCAAGCCUGGUGUUUUUCUAUAGGAGUAAUUGACACAGUCUUUAAGGCAUUAAGGAAUGAAUACACUGUGAUUUACCUAAAACAUGAUACACUGGAAUAAUCUACUGUAUGUUGUACAUAGCACUGAUUUAUAAGAAAACAAUGACAUCCUCUUUUUCUAAAUGGUUUAUGACUUUAUUUCAAAUUUAAAGGAUCCAUUGCCCACUAUCAGUGCCUAUACAGGGAGCAAUGUGCACACUGUAAACAACAAAAAGGCUAGGAACCUCAUUUUGUAAUGAGCAGCUCUUGUUUUAAGUGAUAUUAUACAUGUCAUGAAAUGGAGAAGUAUUUGAAUGUAUUUUUAAAGUAGUUCAUGCCUCUCCUUAGUGCUGCCAUUAGUCUACCACUUGUUUUUGUGUGUAUGUGUGCCUCCUGCAGUUUUGUAUACUAACAAUGGCUGACAGUGUUACAGUAUAUUAUCUUUUUUUAACAGAUCCACUAAAAGAGGUCACCAGGAAACAUUCCUUACUAGCAAAAAACAACAUGGAUAAGACAAGCAUGAGGGAAGCAAAAGACAAUACUGGAAAGUAAGUGCUCUUUAAUCUGUGUACUAAGAUACAGUAUAAGAAACACGUUUCUGUGUAUAAUUACAAAAAACAAUUACACCUCUUUUCAAUCAUAUGUUCUGAAUUAUUUUCUGCUUUCUUUCCUCUUUUUUUCUCAUGAGGAUGUGAUUAGUAUAAAUGUACUGAUUAACUGAUUCUAAGCUGUAAGUGAGGUGUUUCCUCCUUGGUUGAUAUCCAUGCGCAUUUCAAAAUCCCUUAUUUCCAGUAAAUCUAUAGUUUAUAGUUAGAUUAGAAAGAUUAUAGAAAGAUUAUCCCCACAGGCUUGGGCAUUGGCUAGGAUUCAAAACCAGACACAAGGCUAUCCCAAUGAAUAACUAAUGCCUCACAUUGAAGAGGUUACAGUAUGCAAUCACAAGUUAUUUUCAGAGUAAUUCAAAA
Molecule: long non-coding RNA, 1376 nt
Filed under: Lepisosteus oculatus (spotted gar)
Lineage: Eukaryota; Metazoa; Chordata; Actinopteri; Semionotiformes; Lepisosteidae
Description: lncRNA (ENSLOCG00000021787.1)
Source: RNAcentral